RNAcentral lists this unclassified non-coding RNA (2026 nucleotides) under Octopus sinensis (East Asian common octopus). Its description in RNAcentral is "deoxyribonuclease-1, transcript variant X3". The record is from RNAcentral. Lineage: Eukaryota; Metazoa; Mollusca; Cephalopoda; Octopoda; Octopodidae.
UAUGUGUGCAUGUUAUGUGUGUGUGUAUGUAAAUAAACUGCUCGGCUUUCUGUUCGUCAUCAGUGAAUGCAAACGUCAGUAAACGGAACUGCGAGAAGGUUUUUCUCAUACGUUUAGCAUGUACCUUGUCAACACUACCACCAGUUUAUAGUAUACCUUGGUUAGUUGACUGUUGACAGUAACAGGUUAGCGUUAAAGAAUGCCUGCUACCAUUAUUUCCCUGGUGCUGCUAAUUGGGGCGAUUGCAUCAACCAUAGACGCAGCUUAUUCAAACAAAAAUACCCGAUUUUUUAAAAUUGCAGCUUUUAAUAUACAAAUAUUUGGUCCCACUAAAUCGUCGAAAGUUGAUGUGAUGGAAAUUAUAACACAAAUUGUUCAAAGAUACGAUAUUAUUCUAAUACAAGAAAUUAGAGACAAAUCAGGAAAAACUCCUGAAAAACUUUUGAAAGCCAUUAACACAAACGGAUACAGUUAUAGUAUGAAAUUAAGCGACAGGCUUGGACGAACAUACAGCAAAGAAAAUUAUGCAUUCUACUAUAGAAAUGACACCGGAAUAACAAUAGUUGACUCAUUUCACUACGACGAUGGUUCGGAGGAAAAGGGAGUCGAUACGUUUGAAAGAGAACCUUUCGUAGUAAAAUUUUCGAUCCCAAGUCUAUCUGUUAGAGAAAUUGGUAUCAUUGGCCUUCAUGUUGACCCAGAUACUGUCGUUCGUGAACUUACUGCCUUAGCUGACGUUUUUAAAGCGGUAGAAAAUAAAUUCAAAAUUGAUACUGUCAUUGCAAUGGGUGAUUUCAACGCCGGGUGCAGAUAUCUAUCAGAGAAACAAGAGAAGUCAUUAUCUCUCAAAUCAGACAAAUACUUCUGGCCAAUAGAAUAUGGCACGGACACAACACUAGCAGCUACAGACUGCUCUUACGACAGAUUUAUUAUUGGUGGUGCAAAAUUAAUUGAGCUAGCAAAAUCUGGUGAUUCUUCGGUAUUUAAGUUUGACUCAGAAUACGAACUCACAAAGGAGAAAUCAAUGAGUGUCAGUGACCAUUACCCAAUUGAACUCUUCCUUCCAACUAAAACCGUUGUCCCUCUUAGUACUACUGCUACUAUUACUACACGCUUAUGAAAUGUUGGGAAACUCGUGGAAAUGGCCAAAAAGUGUAUAGUGCUGCUUUUGGCAAUGAAUCAUCUGGUAUUAAUCCUGUCAACUACAAGCUAAGCUACAGUAUCCUAUAUGGAGCAGUUCUGUUCAUAAUUUUACUGAAAAUGUUAAAUUAGGAACUUUGCUUACAUCACCAAUACCAUUUACAAGGGAAUGAGUGUCAAAACUCCACAUCUGCUGUCCUCCAUGAAGAAUUCACCAAUUUUAUAAGCAAUUAUUUCAAAACAUUCUGUUAAACAUCAUUUCAUUAUAAUAUUUAUUUUGAGGGUUAACUAAAUUUGUUGCACAGUUUAACAUCACCACUGGGACCUCAAGGUGCCAUUAGCAGAGUCAAAACUAUUGCAGCCACAAAAACAAAAGACAAAAUGAACUUACUUGAAGCUAGUGAUGGUGCUAUUAUUAUUUAAAUUUGAGUUUUUAGUUUUUUGACAUUUAUAUUUUAUUUUUUGUUAUAAGUAGUCAUAUUGCUGAAGACUAAGAUCUUUGCAUAUGAACAUUCCAUAAUCCAGAUCAACAAACUGUUCCUUUUCUUCAAGUUUCUUUAAGCACAAGGUUGCAUGUAAUGUGAAAGUUUUCUGCUGUUUUCUACUUCAAGAUACUGCAAGUGAGAAUUGUUAAUAGUUUCACCCAUUCUAAAAGUCACACACACACAUUCAUAUAUACACACACUCACAUACACACGAGGAAGCACAUAAAUGCAAAACAAGGUGAAUAGUCCUCGAAUACCAAAGGUAGAAUCAUAUGGUUUUUUUUAUUAAAGCUGCAAAAACAUCACAAAAGACUGUCUUGAUUCCAGAUGUCUGACGAAUGGGAAUGUGAGACUCGGAGUCACUGUUUUUUUGUGAUGCUUUUGUGGCUUUAAUAAAAAAA